This 468-nucleotide ribosomal RNA is filed under the name uncultured bacterium. RNAcentral's name for it is "partial 16S ribosomal RNA". It matches the Rfam family "Bacterial small subunit ribosomal RNA", at positions 28 to 507 of the family's 1533-position model. The record is from RNAcentral.
GACGAACGCUGGCGGCGUGCUUAACACAUGCAAGUCGAACGGAAAGGCCCCGCUUUUGUGGGGUGCUCGAGUGGCGAACGGGUGAGUAACACGUGAGUAACCUGCCCUUGACUUUGGGAUAACUUCAGGAAACUGGGGCUAAUACCGGAUAGGAGCUCCUGCUGCAUGGUGGGGGUUGGAAAGUUUCGGCGGAUGGGGAUGGACUCGCGGCUUAUCAGCUUGUUGGUGGGGUAGUGGCUUACCAAGGCUUUGACGGGUAGCCGGCCUGAGAGGGUGACCGGCCACAUUGGGACUGAGAUACGGCCCAGACUCCUACGGGAGGCAGCAGUGGGGAAUAUUGCACAAUGGGCGGAAGCCUGAUGCAGCAACGCCGCGUGCGGGAUGACGGCCUUCGGGUUGUAAACCGCUUUCGCCUGUGACGAAGCGUGAGUGACGGUAAUGGGUAAAGAAGCACCGGCUAACUACGUG